UUUUUAUUAAAAAAAGUACAUAAUUUUAUUUUUUAAAAUAUCUUUUUAUUAAAAAUGAAACAAAUCCAGAAAUAUGAUGAAGAUGUUCAUCAUCUUCAUCUUCUUCCUUUGAAUCUUCAUCAUCUUCAUUGAAUCAAAAAAAUUUCUAUACAAAUAUAUCUUCAAAUAUCAUGAAUUAAUGUUAUAUUCACCUCAAAUCUUCUUUUAAACACAAAAAUCAAACUCCUAUAGAAAAAGAGAUUUAGUUUCAUCACAAAAAAAAAAAAAAAAAAAAAUUAGUUAAAUAAAUUGUCACGCUGUAUAUUAUUAUUAUUAUUAUUAUUAUUAUUAUUAUUAUUUUCUAACUCAAUAUUCAAGUCGGACAUAAAAAUAACCUCAAAAUUGAUAGCAGCUUUGCACAUCAAUUUUGUUGUUUCCAGAACAAUCUUAAUUUUCGUAAAGCCUAACCCUUCCGCCAGUGACUAAGCCUCCACCAUCCGCCUUGCAACAUUUGUGAAAUUAAGGUUUUGAUUUUUGUGUUUAAAAUAAGAUUUAGGGUGAAUAUAACAUUAAUUCACGAUAUUUAGAGAUAUAUUUUAGUAGAAUUUUUUUUAUUUAAAGAAGAUGAUGAAGAUUCAAAGGAAGAAGAUGAAGAUGAUGAACACCUUCAUCAUAUUUUUGGAUUUUUUUUCAGUUUUAAUAAAAAUAUAUUUUUAAAAAUAAAAUUAUGUAUUUUUUAAUAAAAAAAUGCGAAAAAAGAUGUAUAUGUGCUAUUAAGAGAGAUAAAGGACCUAAACGUGAAAAAAUAAAGACAAAGGACCAAAGUGUUACAAAUAAAUAAGAUAAAUGACCCAUAAUGUAAUAUUGCCUUAAUUAUAUUUAGGUGUUCAGUCUUAAUUAAUUUCCACUACAUGACUGGCUUAGAACAAUUAAAAUUUCACAUCAAAUUUCUUUCAUCUGAAUGUCAUUAAAUUUAUCAGUUAUAUUCAUAAAAUUUAUUCCUCCCAUUUUGAUUGUUCAAUUUGGUCGUUCCCAACUGCCGCAUUUUUAAAUUUUCGUGAGAAUCGUCAUGAUUUCAAAUAUCGUGAGAAUUGCCGUUAUUUCCAGUACAACGUCAGGUAUGAUGACUUGAUUUUUCUUUUUGAUUUGAUUUUUCUUGGUUGUGAGGUAGUUAAUUAUAACAAUUGAGUAAAUCAUCCGUUGUAAUUUGAGGGCUGCUAGCAGGUGUUGCCGCUGUGAUGUUGUGGGAGUUUGCUAGCAUUUUAUUAGGUUGGCUGCUUAAAUAAAAAAAAUAAGUCACGAUACCUGACGCGGUUCUAGAUACAACGACAAUUGUCACGAUAAUUGGAAAUUGCAGCAAUUUGUAACAACAAAAUUGAACAAUCAAAAUGGGAAGAAGAAUGAAAAAGAAACAAAAAUUGAUCAAUAUGGAAGAAUAAAGAAGAAGAAAUUUGAAAGAAUGAGAUGUUUUUGUUCUCACGUUCGGGGUUCUGGAAUGGAAGAAAUUUUAUGAAUGUAAAUGAUGAAUUUAAGGACAUACAGAUGAAAGAAAUUUGAUGUAAAAUUUUAUUUGUUAUAAGUCUUGUAGUGUAAAUUAAUUAAGAUUGAACACCUUAAUAUAAAAAAAGAAAAAUUAAAUCAUUUGUUGUUUCAAAAAAAAAAUUAAAUAAAAAUUAAAAGUAUUAAAAGUUACCUUAUGAUUAAGAUUAACUCUCCUUCAAAAAAAAAAAAUUAAGAUUAACUCUUUUAUUUUUAGAAAAAAUCUACUCAUUUAUUUGACAUCUAAUGUUACCUAUAUAUAUUACAUUUUGAUUGGUUGAUAUCAUGAGAUAGUAAAUUACCCUCUAAACAAGAGAGGGUAACGUAGGCCUCACCUGUCUUGUAUGAGUAGUAAAUAGUAACUAGAUCCCCUAUCCGUGCCGACGCACGGGCAUUUAUAGUGUGAAUUAAAAUAUAGUAGAAUAUAGCACAUAAUAUAUGUACAUGUUGAUAAAUAGUUCCAAGCCAAUCUCAUAUAGUAACAAAUAAAAUUAAGCAUAAUAUGAAAAUACAAUUAAUGAAAAUGUUAGAUAAAGUGAAUUACAAAAUAAGCUAAAUGAUUCUUAUAUUAUAGGCUUAAUUACACUUUUGGUCCUCGUAUUUUGGCCUACUCACAAUAUCGAUCAUGCUCUUUUAAAACAGAAUAAAAUUGUCCUUCAGUUAUCAUUUUUGUUGCACUUUUCGUCCUACCCUCCAUUUUAUCCUCCAAAAACGCUGAUGUGUCAGAAUUUUAAUUGAUUGGCAAAUAAAACACCUAUAUGGCAUUGCAUAUGUGAAAAAUAUCAUUUAUAAAAUUGAAGAAAUUAAUUAUAUUAUUAUGGAAAAACAUUUUAACAUUUCAUGGAAAAUUAAAAGAUCAAAUUAAAACAAAAACAUUUCAUGGAAAAUUAAAAGAUUAAAUUAAAUAAAUUUUGGCUUCCAACAAUAAAACUAAAAACUUAAGAACAUUCAUCUUCUUCAUGAUCUUCAUCUUCAACCCUAAAAAACCAUCACAUACCAACAUAUCUUUUUUUCUCUUAUCUCACAUCUCUUGUUAAAGCAACUUAGAAAGACAAAGAAGACAAAAUCUAAGCGAGAAAACAUGUUGUCUUCAGAAACUAAUGCCAUGGGCUACGGCGAUGGCGGAACCACUUUUUGUGGUGUUUUUGAUGACUUGGAGAAGCUGAACAGAAACCAAGCAUUACAGAUUUUGGUGAACUCACCAGUUGCAAAAACAAAGCUUUGUGAACAAUGUUAUUGUGUUUUCUCCAUGGAACAAUUCUCUUUGCUCAGAAAAUUAUCAUAGAAAAGACAACAACAACAACAUAAUUUUUCUGGUCAUCAUUCUUCAAAAAAUUUAUUUCAUUGAAGAGUAACAAACAAAACGACGCCGUUUCGUUUUGUGUUCAAGUUUUUUUCAAAUGGGUUUUGCCACGAAUCUGGGCGUGGGAGGGAUAGAUAUGGUGCGGAUGAUGGAUAUUAUGUUCUUGACCGUGCUGCAGCAAUGCCUUUUACGAGGAUUUUUUGUGGGUGAAAAUGGUGAAGAAGUAGUGUUAAGGGAUCGAAGAUAAGUGGGUGUGGGUGAAAAGGAGAGGAACACAAGUGGUGGUGGGUGUUGAUGAUGGGAGAAAGUUGUGAUGUUGUUAAUUUUUUGUGCUAAAGAAUAAGAGAUGAAUAUGAAUGGUGUUGUUAAUUUUUGUGUUUGUUGCUAAGGAUGAAGAUAGGAAUAUGAGUAGUGUUGUUUAUUUUUAAUUUCAGAUUUAUAUUUUUGAUUUAUUUUCUAAUUGUUAAUUUAUAUACAUGUGAUUAUUAAUUAAUUAUAAAUAUGAUUUGGGAAUUAGGAUUUAUAUAUUUCUUUUAAUUUAAUUUCCUUUUUUCUUUCAAUUUGUUUUUGUUUGAAUUUAUGAAAUGUUUAUAUUGUUUUUUUAAAUUAAAAAUUGUUUUUAUCAUGACAUGUUAAUGUCAUUUUCUAAGUUGGCACUGUCACAUGGUUGUUCCUUUGCCAUAUCAGCAUUUUUGGAGGGUAAAAUGGGGGGUAUGACGAAAAGUGCAAUUAAGCCUAUAUUUUUGAAGGAUGGUUUUGUUCUGUUUUAAAAUGGCAGGACCAAUUUUGUGAGUAGGGCAAAACACGAGGACCAAAAGUGUAAUUAAGCCUAUAUUAUAUGUAGAAGUUCAUACCUUCUGAAAUACUUCGUUGUAUACGACAUUGGUUGUGUUAUCAAUGCAAUCACCGUUUUCAUCAGUUAUGAGUAUUUUCAAACCUUUCCUUAAUGUUACCUUGGAAACUGCGACAUAUAAUUGGUCGUGAGAGAAUUCAAAAUGUUUUGAUUGGAUGUGUUUGCAAAAUUGUUUUAGACAGUUAACUUACCACAAUUAAAUUCAUAAAAGUAUUCCUAGAUAAUAUAAACCAAAAUCAACGCCCUCUGUUUUGACAGAAAGGUAAAAUAAACAACCACCAUUAUUCACUGGAUCAAUUGAAAAAGUUUUGUUGUGAUCCAUAUACUAUAUAUUGACUUGUUAAAAGCAUGUCAUAUUCAAAAUAUUCAUUCAUUCAUUGUAUCAGUCACUUGCUAAAGUUUUGCUAAAAUUAUGAAAACUAACACCCUAAGAAACCUACAUUGCAUGUAAAUAAGAAGAAAGGUACUUUCUUGUAAAUUAAUUGAUGAAAUUUGGAUGAUUUUCGAGCAAAUUGAAGUUUGGGUGAUUUUUGGUUAUAUUUUACAAGUUUUGAAUGAGUUGUUGUAACCAGAAACUGGAGGUUUCUGCGUUCUUAAAAUACAAAACGUAACGGCAGUUAACAACCGCUGGGUUCAGCGGCAGUUAACUACCGGCGGUUCUUUCAACGGUAGUUAACUACCGCUGGGGUUUUUCUAGUAAUUACUUGUGUAAAUAGGAAGUAUUCCAUGUCAAAAAAACAAUUUUCUAAUGAGGUGAACAAAAUGAAGUGAACCAAGAUAAUAGAAAAGGUUUGGCCCAAAAUUAACAGUUGAGAUUAGCAUAAAUUGAAAUUAACGGCCAUCAAACAUUGGCGCCCAAAUUCAAUAGGAUUAGGGUUUGCAAAUUUUGUUAAUAGUGUUAUUCAUAUAUUAGAAAUAAUAUGAGUAUGAUAAGAUUAAGAUAGUAUAAAUUGAAAAUUAUAUUUAAAAUGGGCUAAGAGUGGUUUUGCCCAAUCUCUAUCCAUUAGGUUAGAUGAACUAACCAGUUAACUCUAAAAAUGGUUUCGCAAUCAAUAAGGUAUAAAUUGAAAAUGAUAUUUAAGAGUGUGUGCAACUGGCUCGGUCAUUUCUAUUUCUAAUUUCUAAAUAAAUAACAAGGCUAAAAUUCUCUCUCAAAAAAAAAAAACAAGGCUAAAAUAAUAAAGAAAUAAACAAAUAAUAAAAUAAAAUUUACAUAAAUAUUAAUUUUAAAAAGACUUCAUUCUUAAAGUUUGUUUUAGAUCUCAACAGUAUUAGUUGAGACGACUCUACUUGAUAAGGAAACUAAGGUGGCUCGUCCUAAAUUCUCAAUUAAGGUUGGCUUAUUAUAGUUAUAAUUGUACCUUGAAUCAAGAACUGGUCGAAAUUAUUAGGCUCUCCAACCACUGCUCCAUGUUUGUUAGGGUUGUUAUUGGGAAAAACCUAAGUCCCACAUCGGAUAGAUAAGACUCCUGAGAAGAGUUUAUAAAGAGGAGGCAAUCAUCACCUUACAAGCCGGUUUUGUAAGGAAGAGUUAGGCUCCAAAUUUCAACAUGGUAUCAGAGCUUGUCGAAUUCAAGGGCCACCUAAACCUAUUCACGCACCAAGCCCAAAGAGUGCUGGGGGUGAGUGCUGGGCGUGAGGGGGGUGUAUUGGGAAAAAGGAGGCAAUCCUCACCUUACAAGCCGGUUUUGUAAGAAAGAAUUAGGCCCCAAAUUUCAACAGUUGUCACGCCACUUCCAACCAUCGCUGCAUCAGUAUUUUUGUCAUCGUUAAUUUGAAACUAAUGCACCUCUAUGAUGAACAUGUCUUGGAAUCUUGUUUCUGUUUCCAUACCCAACUAUGUAAUGUAGCUCAUAUUCAUUGGAUUGUUCCCCAUGAUGUAAUCCAUUUGUUUUAUGGGGAUGUAAAAAAAUCAUAAUGUUAUUUUUCAACACAAAAAUAGAAAAACGUUUUUUAAACAACUUAAUUUAGACAAAUUUUACGAUAACAUGUCAAGUGAUUAAUGCAGUUCAGAUGGGUGAUUGAUUAUGUACAAUAGAUGGUUAAUGAAUAUGUCAUGUGUUGAAACUCAUUAAUUUGUUUAUGAACCAUUUACUCAAUGUAAGUAGUUAUUUAUAUGAUCGACAUUAAUCACUUUAAAAGUUGUAUGACUUGGAUGCAGGGGCGAAUGCUUGUACAAGAGAGGGGUAGCCAAUGCUUGUACAAGAGAGGGGUAGCUAUGGCUACCCCAAAAAAAAAAAAAAUUGAGUUAGUAGGUAUAUUUUUAUGUUUAGCUACCCCUAAUAAUAUAUAUUUGGCUAUCCCAAGUUCGAUUUUAGGUGUAAUAAUUUUUUAUGACUUUUGUUACUUUCGGGUGGCCACCUCAUAAAAUUAUUGCUAGCUUCGCCACUGCUUGGAUGUACAAAUAACACAACUUACCAAAAUAAUUGAAUAACAAAUAAAAUCAAGUGAAGGAUACAAUACCCAAGAGAUUUAUAAAUGCUUUUAGAACAUAUAUUUGAAAGUAAUUAUGGCCACAAAACCAUCCAAGAACGUCUAUGUCUUAGCAAAAAGAUAUGCUAAAAAUGCAACAUUGACAAAAUAUUGGAGAGAUUUUGGCUGUCUGUGGUUGAAUUGCAUCAAGCCCCCUGAAAGUCUUCUUGUUGGCAUGUACUAUAUUAUGAUCUCUUUGAACAAUAAUGUUUUAAAUUCUUAUUGCAAUAACACCACAAAUAUUUACAUUAAGGAAAAACAUAAUUAAUGCAAUUGAAACUGUGGUCCCAAUGUCGUUGCAUAAAUUUCAAAAACCCUUUACAUUUCGACCACAAUUGCAGUUGUGGAUCACUAUUUAAAACUGUCUCACAACCACAAUUGAUAGGCCGAAUAAUAAUAAAAAAAUAACAAGGCAAAAGUUACAUGUUAAUUAUUAAGUUACCAUUAGUCUAGUUAACAUUGAAUUGAUGUAGAUAAGAGCCCGUGGUAAGACCAAUAGAUAUGUGGUACAUACUCAACAUUUCCUCAUUAGGGUAACCAAACUUAUGAAACCUCAUCAUCUUUGUUAGCAACAACAUUGCAGCAGGUAACUUAAUGUUCCAGCUCAAAAAUUUUAAAUAAGGAAUCUCAUUGAAUGCUUUGUCAUUGAUCUUAUAGAUAGAAGGAUCAGUUGCCAAGGAAAGGUAGUUGUUGUUACCAGUGGCAAAAUACAAUCAAACACCGCCCCCACAUGUACUCAUCAAAGUAGUCAGUUGAGUUAUAAUAAGGCUCAAUGCAAGGUUGUCCAUGAUUGUAGAGUUUCCUUUUAGCAAAGUUUCUUGCCAAUGCAAAGAGAGCUUCAUCUCCCUUUAUGAGUUUCUUGGAAUAGGCGAUGUCAUGUUCAAAAAUUAUAUAUCUUACACCCUCCGUUUCAAAAUUAAUGUCUUUAGGCUUUGACAUAUAGAUUAAGAAAUACAAUGAAAUAAUCAUUGGAUAUAAUACUUUUACUAAACUGUCCUUACUUUAUAAGAAAAAGACAAAAUUAAAGUUGCAUUGAAAAUUGUGUGAGAGAAAAGUUAGCGUAUUUAUUGAGGGUAAAGUUGGAAGAAAAGAAUUAAAGUUGUAUUGGAAAUGUAAAGUGACAUUCAUUUUGAAACAAUUUUUUUUAGCUAAAACGACACUCAUUUUAAAACGGAGGGAGUACUAUUAAUGUUGUGCAAUUUCUCCUGCAAGAUGAGGUCCUUCGGAUAUAGUUGUUGGUUGGCGUGGAUAGUCCUUCGGAUAUACCAUUGCAAAUCUAUCUUCUCUCAUUUCUAUCGAAACUUUAGUGACGAAUUUGUAUAGAGACAAACAAACGAAGUUGUUCAUACAUAGCUUGACAAAAGCAGUUAUAUUGUUAGAUAUUUCCAUAUAAUAGUGGAUAUACUAAAUUGUGUUGAACACAUAAGUCAUGAAUGUACACAUAUGAAUGUGACUUAAGGGUUUACUUAAGGGGUACUGGUUUACUACUUUAAUAGAGGUAAAAAUAUAUUUUUGGUAUAAUCGGGGAUGACUCAGGGUAGGUUCAAGGUGAAUAUUAUUGUUCACAUUAUCCGUCUGACCUUUAUCUUUUAAAAUUAGAGAAAAUCCAAACUCAAACCAAACUCAAUCAAUCAUGAUUUUUCAUGUAAAAGUCGGAGCGGGUACCCAUGAGCAUGAAUUCGUCUUCAUUCCAUAAUAUAGAGAUCAAUUGAUAGUAAGUGGUUAAAUUCAUAGACCGAGUUAACAAUUUAAUUGAAUCGAUUAUCUUUUUUAAAUAUAGUAUUCAUAAGAAUUUAAUUAGUGUACACUGUCAAAUGUAUAUUUAUUUUACGCAUAAAUCAAACAAAGGGUUAUCACAUUGAUUAAUGAAAAUAUAUAAAUUGUCAUAUUGAUUAAUUGAUUUGAUGAUACAUUAUUAAUUUACACAUAAUAAUAUAAAAACAAAGUUAUUACCGUAAGGAACAAAAUGAACUCAAAUUCAUAAAUCAAACGCAACACAACGGAAACUCAUUUUGAAACGAACAAUGGACACUGAAUAAACCCAUUUUCCCGCACAAAAUCUCCAAAUAUCACAACAAUGAAAUCACCUCCGUCCAAGUCCAACAACACCGAAACCGAAGAAGAAACCAUUGCCUUCAACAGAAAAAGAGCACGCCGCGUAAGCUUCGCCGAUAACGAAAUCACCUCCGUCCACAUCUUCCGUCCCGACGACGACCACUCCUCUUCCUCCUCCGACAUCCCCGCAGAUACCCUAGGUUUCUUCCGUAAAAUCGGCGGAGACAGCGACGACGAAGUUGAACCGCGCCAAAACCCUACUGAUGACGCUGCUGAAGUCGUAGAUCAUCGGAACUCCUUCCUGCAACCGAUUGGUUCUCCUUCUCCCGGUGGAAGUAGCAAUAACGCUGAUGACGACAGUGAUGGUUAGUCUUAACCUAAUAUCGUUUAGUUAAUUGAUUAGUUUUUAAUUUUUUUUGAUUUUUUUUUACUAAUUUGAUUUUGCAGAUGACGAAUUUCGUGGUCCUGUAUCGACGGAUUUCAUUAAACCGGAACGGCUAUCAGAUUCCGGUGUCUCCGACGACAUUACGAUGGACUCGACUGCAUUUUCAAUGCAUUACCGGAGUCUUGCUCGUUCGGAUUCAGGGGAUCUUAAAACUCCGACUAGGUUUGAAGCGACGGUGACUACAGCCGUUCAAAGCAGUGCCACAUCGGGGAGUUUGAUGGAUUUUACCGACGGUGAUAAAAAAACGCCUCAGUCGCCGGUGGUGGCGAGUGCUAGCGGGGAUUCAGAUGCUAUGAGUAUUGAAGGGGAACAAGGAAGAAAAACCCAUGAUUAUGGAAGACUCUCUCCUAAGUUGGUUGCAAUUUUGGCACAGGGAAGUAAGGAUUUGGAUGGUGUUUCGCUGUUAGGUUCAAAAGCUACGCAAUCACCAAAUGGAAAUGAUAUUGAGGUUUUACCUGAUUUGGCAUGUUCAGCUAACUCGCCUGUUCGUCGAAUCACCCUUGAUAGUGCAAUUGCUUCUGCUUCUGAGUCUUCAACCAAGGUUCAAAAUCUUCUACGUCAUUAAAUUAUAUGGUCAUUUAUUUUUUGCAGUUUUCUCAGUUGACUUGUUUGUUGUUUGCUUCAAAGUUUUCCUUUCAAGUUGAAGGGACAAUUUUAUCGUACAACUGUAUGACCGGCGGUAUUGUAGGCGAUGGAGUGUUGGGUGGUAAAGAACCAACACGAGAAUAAAAUAAAGAGAUAAGAUAAAGACGUUGUGUUGGUUGUGUGGUAAGACUAGACAAUAUAGGAUUAGAAAUGACCACAUUAGAGAGAGUUGGAGUAGCAGCUAUCGUAGAAAAAAUGGCGGAAACUCGGCUUAGGUGGUUUCUGCAUGUAGAGAAAAUAGAUGUAGAUUAUGUAGUAAGGACAGUUGAAUAGACGGAGGGUAGUCAAAUCACCAGAGGCAGAGAAAGACCUAUAAAAACGAUAAGGGAAACUAUUAAGAAAGACUUAGAAAUUAAUGAGUUAGAUAAAGAUAUGAUAAAUGGUAGAACAUUAUGGCGUCGUUUGAUCCAUUUAACCGACUCCACUUAUGGAGGGUAGUCAAAUCACUAGAGGCAGAGAAAGACCUAUAAAAACGAUAAGGGAAACUAUUAAGAAAGACUUAGAAAUUAACGAGUUGGAUAAAGAUAUGAUAAAUGGUAGAACAUUAUGGCGUCGUUUGAUCCAUUUAACCGACUCCACUUAUGGCGUCGUGCAUUUAUUACAUUGAAACUUUAAAAAUUGACUUUUGCUUCAUUAAACUCAUCAAUUAUUUCUAUUUUUGUCUUCUUAACAAGCACCCUUAGCAUAACCCAUUGUAAUAUAUCAAAUUCUAGUUGUGCAUGGUUUAUGAUGACACUGUUGUGGUUGUGGUAAUUGAUAAGUGAUAUUUGUUAUUUUCAUUUCAGAACACCAAGGAGUUUGUUAAUGAUGCAACUCCGUUAGCUUUUAAACAAUUGAGCUCUGCUAAGGCUAAUAGAAGAACCCCACCAAAGAUGGAUAAAGGUGAUAAGUUAGCCACAGAUUCACCAAUUGCAGUUCAUGUGGAGGUUUUACCCACCAUGGAAAGUUCAGUUAACUCUCCUGUUCAUCAAAUCACCCCAGUUGCUUCUGCUUCCAAGUCUUCAACCAAGGUUGAAAAUAUUCUAGGUCAUUAAAUUAUUUGUUCAUAUGUUUUCACUCAACAUUCUUUUUUCAUGGUAGCCUAAAGUUGUUACAUUUGUUCAAUGACUGUUGUCUGAGUGCAAGGAGCUUGUUUCUACUUAACCUUAGCCUCAUGUUCAAGUCUUUAUGAUUGGAAAAACAUAGGCAUUGAGAUAACUUUGCAUUCUUGUGUGUGUCCAUUUAUAUGACUUGGUAAUUGAAAUAGUUUGGGAACACUGAAGGUGUUGGAAUUAAAGAUCUUGCAUUCUGCUGGAAUCAAUGUUGGUUUGAUUAUUCUUGUUGACUGUUGUCAGUUCUCCCAGUUGACUUGUUUCCUGUCUGCUUCAAAGUUUAUUUUAUUUUAUUUUAUUUCAGAUUUUAGGGUCCUUUACCUUUAGUUAGUUGCAGAUAAAUAUUGUAAUACAUCAAAUUAUGGUUGUGCGUGGUUUAUGAUGACACUGUUGUGGUUUUUGCUGUCCUUGUAUAUGCUAUUGCAUCUGUUGAGUUGUGUAAAUGCAUGGCAGUUGUAAUUGAUAAGUGAUAUUUUUAUUUUCAUUUUCAGAACAGGGAGUUUGUUAAUGAUGCAACUCCAUUAUCUUUUAAACAAUUGGACUCUUCUAAGGCUAAUAGAGGAACCCCGCCAAAGAUGGAUGAAGGUGAUAAGUUAGAUUUGGCUGCUAAGUAUGAACUGGGUUUCUGUGAAGUCCCCAUAAAAGAGAGUAAUUCUAAAGAUAGGGGACAUGUGACUGACUCUAAUCAUAAGUCCGAUCAAGUUACUGGAAAUCAUCCAGUACAUGAGUUUACACCAUUGUCACUUUCUGCAAAUAAAGUAGUAUUUAUGGGUUCUUCUGAUUCAUUCAGAUGUACCGGAAAUAUAACUCCUCCCUUAAAGCAAUCUGGUUUGCUUGUGCCUGAGGUACAUGUCGAAAAUAGUGCAACUUUGUUGUCCAUACAUAAAAGCAUUUCAAAGUUGAAAACUCUUAAGGCUACCCCAAACACCUCUACUCUCAAAGAAGGAACUGACAAAUUGAAACUUAGGUUUUCAAAAUAUUCCCCAGGGACUUCUUUCUUUGGUGAAAGAGAUUUUGAAAACAAGCAAGUUGAAACUCUUACUGCUCCUUUGGUGGAAGAGCCGUUUAGUUUAACUCUCGAGAAUAACAUGAAUCGAAGUUUUAUCAACACCGACGAUCGUGUAGUUGAUUCUUUGAUUUCGGCCAAUGUUUCCUACAAUGAUGAAAAUCUUGAGCCUGUGAUUGGUGCUUCUUCCUUGCUUAAGACUCGUAUAACAAGAGUGGCAGAUUUUGACCUGGCAGAUGGCACAGUCGAGGAAAAAAAUGAAGUUCUAACCACUACGCAUGCCAAACCUUUUGCUUCCCCUGUAAAAUCAUUUGGCCAUACUUUAUCGCCAUCAGUAGAAUGUCAAAGUAAUUGCCAUGUUGAGUUGAAGCAAACGGAUAUGCAGAAUGAAUCUUUUAAUGGUGGUUUAGGACAGGCCAUUGAAUACGACAAACCGACAGCAGCUAAAAAAUUGGAUUUGUCUGGUGAUGGAAAUAGUGAACAGCCUAACUCACCUUUUGAGGAUGCACAGGUCAGCAAACUGAUUAAGGUAAAUUACAAAAGACAUAGAUGAUUUACUGAUACUUUUUUCAUUUAUAUAUUUAGUCUAUUUCCUUAGUUCAAUGCCCCCACUUUUUAUGGUUGUGAUAUUUGUAAGUGUAAUUACAUUUCAGCAGAAUCACGUUUGUAAAUUCUAAUCAUUAAAAUUUGUAAACCCUACUUCAGUUUUCUCUAUUUUGUCUAGACAAGUAAAAUAUGUCAUGGCUAUGUAUUUUUACAAAAUUAAAAUUUAGACUCUUGCAAAAACAUAUGGGUAAAGGUGUGUCUCUACAGAGGUCAAAACAUUGCCUCCAGUGGAAGACUGAUUUUUCUUUCUUUUAUGAUGCUAACAUGUCAGUUCUGUGCUUCUGAAUUGUUAUGAUUUCACCUUAUAUGAUGCUUGUAUGAUUUAGAGCACAUUGAAGGGAAAACCGCCCAGGAGUCCUUGUAAUAGAUUUCUAGAUCUAAGCAGUCCUAUCCAAGAAUUAACAACUGUGUUGCCCUCCCUGCAAGAACCUCCUAGUGAUAUCCGAGACUUGUCUCACAGGAUUAAUUCUGAUGGGAAUGGUGUUGAUCUUGAUAACAACGGCUAUCCGGCACCCCAAGUAGCUCAGAGCCCUCUUACCGAAACUGGUAUCAAGGUUUCUUCUGGGAAGAAAAUGAAAGGCGUUGAUCUUGAUAACAACUUUCAUCCGGCACUCCAAGUAGCUCAGAGCCCUUUUACCAAAACUGGUAUCGAGGUUUCUUCUGGGAAGAAAAGGAAAGGUGUCGAGUUUUUAAGUGAUAUCCGAGACUUGUCUCACAGGAUUAAUUCUGAUGGGGGUGGUGUUAAUCUUGAUAAAAACUGCCAUCCGACACUCCAAGUAGCUCAGAGCCCUCUUACCAAAACUGGUAUCGAGGUUUCUUCCGGGAAGAAAUGGGAAAGUGUUGAUCUUGAUAACAACUGCCAUCCGACACUCCAAGUAGCUCGGAGCCCUCUCACCAAAAGUGGUAUCGAGGUUUCAUCUGGGAAGAAAAGGAAAGGUGUCGAGUUACUAAGUAAUUUCCGAGACUUGUCUCACAGGAUUAAUUCUGAUGGGCAUGGUGGUGAUCUUGAUAACAUCUGCCAUCCGGCACUCCAAGUAGCUCAGAGCCCUCUUACCAAAAAUGGUAUCGAGGUUUCUUCUGAGAAGAAAAUGAAGGGUGUCAAAUUAUUAAGUGAUUUCCAAGACUUGUCUCGCAGGAUUAAUUCUGAUGGUCAUGUUGUUGAUCUUGAUAACAACUGCCAUCCAGCACUCCAAGUAGCUCAGAGCCCUCUUACCAAAACUGGUAUCGAGAUUUCUUCUGGGAAGAAAGGGAAAGGUGUCGAGUUAUUAAGUGAUGGAGACAAUAUAGAGAAGACAGGGAGGACUGACAGAAAUCCAGAGGUUCAUAAAAGUGGGGAUGGAGAUCUACAGUUUGUUUUGGAGCAAACAGGUUCUAUGGGAAGUGAAAGAGAAAAGUUUGGAGAUCAGAAGUGGGAUGAUUUGGAUCAUGUAUGGUUACUGCUUUAUGUUGAUAAUUAGUUAGAAAUUUGUUGUUUUAUUGGGUCUCUUAAGUUUUUACUUUUCAACUAUCUUGCAGGUUAUAAAAAAAUUCUCAACCAGCACAAAACAAUUGCUUUCUCCGUCAUUUGAUAAGCUAAAUUUGAGAUUGGUAUGUUCUAAUAUAUGGUUGUAGAAUUAGAAAAAUUGUGGAUAUUGCUUCGUGCUUUUUAAUCAUUCACAAUUAUAUUAUCAUAGCUAUUUAUACAACGUUGGAUCUAAAUAUUUAGAUUGGCACGCUGGAAGAUAUUUUGGUUCAUCUGCAGAAAGUUAAGAAAUGGGAUAUUCUUUCUUCUGAAAUUCAUUCUCAGGUCUGUUGGAUUAGAUAAUCGAAUUUAGUGCACUAAGCUAGUUAUAUUAUAUCAUGAACAAGAUUAUAUUUGAAAUGAUUAGUACAUCUAAGGGCAUGUUUCCUUUGAGACAACAUUGUCUGUUUUCACUUUUAAUUACAAAAAAUAUCAUGUUGUUUUCACCUUAUUUGUUGAUUUCAAAGAUGUGUAUAGGAUACCCUGAAAAUAAUAAAUAAUUAUUUUUCAACUAUUUCCUAUACAGACAUUUGAAAAUAAAAAACAGUGUGGCAAUUGUGUUAAUAAAAGUGAAAACAGGAAAUGAAAACAAAAAUAUUUUCUCAAAUCAAACUUACUCUAUGUUUGGAAUUUCCUGUUUCUUAUUGACAUGGUUCUUGUUUUUCUUUCAGAAGAAAUUAAUGGAUCCUCUAAAUAUUCGCAGACGCAAAAGGUACAUAUAAGCUGUUUGACUAAGUCACUAUGUGGGGAUUGUGUUAUUCAUACUCAAGUUUAUGGAACUUAUUUUUAAAUGUUGAGUAUUUCUUUUGCAGAAUUGUGGAAAUGAAAAUGUUGCUUUUUAAUAUAGCAUAUGAGAAGUCUAAGCUGCAAUUAAUGAAUGCUAAGCGUGAGAGAUUACUGGUAUUCUCUCUUACACAUUAGUCUUAGUAUUUAGCAAUACUUGCUAUUGGUGAUACAAACUUUCGUUAUUCACAGAAAAAAGUACAACAGCUGAGUUCUGGGCUUCAAGAGACGCAGAUGAUAAAAAAUUCCAUGUCAUGUUCUGCUAAGAGUAGACCGGUUGACAUUCAAGCUGAUGGUAGUCACAUCAAUACAAGAUUUUUUAAUUCCCAAGGAAAAUCUCAGGUAUAAUUAUGUGUGAUUCAUUUUAAGUGACCUAGUGAUAAUAGCUUGAAAAUUAUUAUGAUACGCUUUCCAUGGUGUAACUGAUCUUCAAAACCUUGAAUUGGUAUAAGAAAUACAUUGAUGAGAGAAUUACACUGAGUUAAGGUUACUACCUUUCUUCCUCUGAUUUCGCAACAGGAGGGAGUUAGCAAUCUUUCGUGAAUAAUGAUUAAUGGUAUCUCUUUUGGACAAAAUACUUGACAUUAUAUUUAAAGCAACUUUGAUUAAUGGUAAAAAUGAAAAAUCUACAGUUUCUACCCUCACACUUCGAUUCCCUUGCUACACAACAUGUCAAUUUUUGAAGGAGCAUUCUUACACAGAUAUCUCUCUAACUAACAUUAAUUCAAUAUUUAUAAGGUGUUAUCUGAAUUGGUGACCUGUUGUCGAAUAGCGGUGCCGGUGCUAUAGCUCUAUUACGUUGCGGAUUUUGAUGAAUCUGCCAGGAAAAACCACGGUGAUAUGCACAUUCUGCUAUAUCAGCCGCUAUAUCAGCAUUUGCAGCCACAGUUGUAAAACUUAAGAGUCAUAGUAUGUGUGCUGCACAUUAAUUGAUUCCCUUGCUACAGAACAUGUCAACCUUUGAUGGACCAUUCUUACACAGAGCUCUCAAUUUCACAUCAAUUCAAUAUUUAUAAGUUGUUAGCUGAAUUGGUGACCCAUUGUCAAAUAGUGGUGCUAUAGCUCUAGUACGUUUGGGGCUUUGAUGAAUCUGCCACGAAAAACCAGAGCUAUGCACAUUCUGCUAUAAGGGAUGUAGGAGCUGCUAUAUUAGCAUUUGCAGCCACUGUUGUAAAACUUAAGAAUCGUAGUAUGUGUGCUGCACAUUAAUCAAUUCAUGUGCAUAAUAAUACUUAACUUUGAACAUUCCCCUUUAAGUGCAGCGUAAAUGUCCGUCAUGCUCACUUUUUACAAAGAUACCCUAUCUUAAUAGUUAUUCCAAUUGAGUGCCUUUGCGAAUAUACCAACUAACUGUUCUAGUGAAUCGCCAAUUUAGCCCCUAUUGUUGUAGGGUGCUGUCAACUAAGUCUCUUAAAUUAGUUUAAAGUGAUAUUUGAUUUUUAAGACACACAGUCAUAUUAGUCCCUACCAGACAAUUUUAGGGGCUAAAUUGACUGAUUCAAAAGGACCGACAUGAUAGAAUAUUCUAAAUUUCAGAAAUUAACUUUUAAAAUGAUCCUUAAAACUUAGAUUUUCUCAUGAGUUAAAAUUAUCCUUAAAACGCGAGGGAUAAUUCUCAAUUUCAGAGACGGUUUUGAAAUUUUACCGAUGUUAUGAAUAUGAACAUUUAUGACUUGUCAUUAUAUCUUUAUAUUGGAUAAACGAUGUAUGUCUUUGAACUUAAAAAUGAAAAUUACAAAAUAAAAUCUUGGCUCAAACCAGUUCUUAUCAUCAGUUUUAUGCUGGUUUGAUUAGUUUUUGGGGUUAAAUGAAACAAACACCUCGACAACUCUCUUGGUCGAAUUGGCCUACUAUCAUAUUUAUAUGGACGUUAUAUCCACUGAGCAAUGCCCUUCAAACGUGUUUUUACUGGACAUUCAUAAAUUUAUGUUCAUGAGUUUCCUCUUGUUUGCUUGGAAUAUUUUCCCAUGCGUGUCCCUAGUUUCUGUUUAUAGUUCAUUGGUGCAGUAUGAUGAUAAAAGGUUUAAUAUGUUGUCCAUUGAAUUCCAAUUGGCAAUGUUAGGUUUCUUGCAAAAAAGUGAUUGAAAUGAGGCAGGAGCUUGAAAGUUUGGAUCAGAAAGCAAAACCUUUAAGUGAAUUUUUUUAUAGUUACUGCAAGAUGGAAGGGGAUCAAAGCUAUACCAACGUCAUAAAAUCUGUUCCUGGUUAUUUGGAAAAGAUAAUGUCUUACAAGUUGGAAUUCCAGAAUUUGAAGGUUGUCCGUCUUUAAAUAUUAUUGUUCUUAUCUAUUUACAAGAUAAUAAAUAUUUCAUUUUCUGACCGAUAACUUUGUUUCUACUAUUUGUCAGUUGUGGGAUAUUGAAGAUUUUGAGCGCAAGGAUGACCAUCACAUGAUUAUUCUCAACUAUUGCGGAUAUAUCAUCCAAAGGUUAACUUUGAUUUGUUUCUUUUUUUUAAGGAUUGGAGCUCAAGUGUAUCUUGUGUGACAUUACUGAAUAUGCAAGUGCUUACUUACUUCGAUGGAAUGUAGGUUGACAGUAAAUGCUGGUCUAUCAAGCAUUAUAGUAUCAAAUUGCUUGAAUGAUGCGAAUAUUGGAAAGGUAAUUUGGUUGACAAUUUAUCUGUUUUAUUGUUGUACAUUCAGCAUUCAUACCUUACUGUUUUCUAAUAUGAUACAUUUAGUUUUCAGACCUAUCCGAAUAUGGAUGCUUUCUCUGCAUUUGCGUUUGCCUUAAAUCCACAUACCACUAGCAAACGCACAGGUCGAAUCAGUAUGGCACAAGAAACACAGGUAACUGUUUCUUGAAUAAAGUUUGUUUAAGUUUUUUAUUUCAUAUUUGCUUUAUUUUUAGAGGGGAUCACCAUAUUCAGAAUUUACGUGAUAUGGACUAGAAAAUUUAAACUAAUGGUAUGAAUCUUGUAGUUUAUGAGCUAAGAAAAUUUUAUGUCAAAGAAGCCUUUAAGUAGGAUUAUUCAAAAUUGUUGCCUCUGCCAGUAUCUGUGGUCAUAGAGUCAUAUUGUAUUCGGCAAAAAAUAUUGGGAACCUCACCUUAAUUACCACCUUGUGACUUUUGGCUCAAUUUAAAUCUUUAUGGAAACAAAUCUUGGGAUCCGAAGAUGUUUAUGCUUACCUAUUAUAUUCAUUCAUACCCUUCUCUUGAGAGAAGUGUCGGUGAUUAUACCGCUCUAGCAUAUUAGUCCACUUCACAUAAUUCACAACCAUCUUCCCAGUUUCUCACUUGAGGAGGACAUUGGGAUGGUAAUGGUUGUGGACAUGUGGUACUCAAACUUGACAUUCAGUUGUUGUUAAGGGAAAAGGAAAAGAUAAAAUCCCAAAAUAUAUGAGUGAAUUUGUGUCUCACUUACACUGGAUAUAACAUUUAGGUCAUAUGCAAGGUAGACAAACUCGAGAUCCUAAGUAAGAUUGGAUAGGACCCACGAGAUCGUGAAUCGGGGGAUCGUAACACGGAUCGUAAGAUCCUACCAAAUUUAAAAAUUCAUAUAUAUUCCAUAUAAAUUCAUACAUAUGCAUGCAUAUGAAGCAACACAAUUUAAUAGAAAAAACUUCAAAUAACAGUUAUAUUCAUUAACAGUAGCACAUUAAAACAACUCUAAAAUUCAAAAUAGUAGCACAUCACACCUAAAAUCAUCUUUGAGAGAGGGAGUUGAGUGCUAUGAAUAUGAGAAUUGCAUUGGUAAGGUUCCAUGAUUUAUGGGUGUAUUGGAAAAUUUCCCUAAUUAUUGAUAGUAGGUGUAUUGGGAAGAUUUUCAAUAAUCAAUGGGUUUAAUGAGGGAAUUAGAAACCGUUUCAGAGAAUAAUAAGAGUGAAAAACUUUUUUUUUUGCAUUUCUGAUUGCAAAUAUGCGUUUGGGGUGAAUCCGGAUCACGAACUCGACCCGGAAACGAAUUUCCGGGAAACGAAACAACAACCGGGUCACGGACCGACCCGCGAACCCGGUUUUCGGGGUUUCAAAAUUGACUCGUCUGAAUCGUACGAUACAAACGCGUUUGCGUUUUUCAACGGCGAUCCAAACCGCAACCACCAAAAAGCGAUUCCGACGACGUUCUGGCACGGCGAGGGGAUGUGAGAUUGCGAACUCGAACGAUCCUACGAGUUGGAUCGCGAGUUUGUCUACCAUGGUCAUAUGCACCACACACAUUACAUAUAUAACUUGUUGGAAGACCUCCCAAAAAUUUAGGAUAUGUUUGAAUGGGGAAGGGAGGGCUUACUUUUCAUUUUUAAAUUACAGACGCUACAAAAUGUUUUUGAAAAUAAAUUAAGUGUGAUUGAAGUACUAAAUGAUCAUUUAUCAUGUUAUUUCAAUUUUUUUAAAAUAUCAAACAUAUUUCAAGAUAUAGACUUAGCCCUCCAAAAACCUCUUCCCAAACACAGCCUUAGUGAAAACAUUUUUCAGUUGAUCAUUUGAAUUAUUAAAGUGAGUGGUAAUGUCUCCGGAUAUAACAUUCUCCAAUUUGUCGACCCACUACCUCCAUUAGAAUUGCCGGAUGUCAAUAUACUUGUGGCAGAAAAAUAUAUCCAAAUAACCUAAAGCUUAGUCACAUCCACACCGCCACUGGAACUUCCGGACACUAGCCCAAAAGUGUUGGUUGGUGGUUCGUUAUCGGUGAUGAAGAUUUAUUGUGGUGAAGAAGGAAAAAAGACAGCAGCAGAAAUGAUAUUUUGUAAAUUGGACCUAAUUCUAGACUUAAUGGGUUAUGAAAAAAGGUUGUACCUAUCUUGAUCAAUACCACUCUCAAUUGGCCCCUAACCAGAACUCAGUUAUGGUUUUUGAGGCUUUGAGUAUGUUUUAAUAACCAGUACCUGUUGAAUUAGUUCACUGUGUUUGUGGCAAAGUGGAUCAUGCGCAUAUGAUGUUUCAGAAUGAUAAGGUACUAUUGGCAACGAUUGUGCCGUAAGUACUGUAAGAAAGAGAGUAGGUUAAUGCGUUCAGGAUGUCAUUUUCGCUCCUCGCCCGUAGCUUUCUCAUCAUGCUCCCAACAAUGGGAUCCUGAGGGAGAGGUAUCUGUUUUCAACUACUAUGGAACACGAGGAAAUUUAUUAGAUUGCAACAACUUUGAGGACAUAAUUGAAUUUGAACGUGGCGGUAUUCUUAUUUCUGUGUUAGGAUUGAAGGGAAAGCUGGUUAGUUGUAGUUAGGCAGCUGGAUUAGUAAGAGAGGAUUUGUUAAAUAAAUUAAGGUUGGAAGGAUUGAGGGAAUCAUUCUUUAAAUUUUAUAGUUAUAUGUAAAAGGAGAAAUCUUUUGUGGAGGAGAAACCCUCUAGUAGAAUUCUAUUCUUCAUUUCUGGUUCAGUUUUCAAUAAUACACUUCUAUUUGUAACAAAUUGCUUGUGUGAUAAUAAAAUGAAAGGUGGGCACUAGUCCUAUAAAAUCAUCUAAGAUAUUUUUAAAUGUUAUAAGAUGCAAUACAUGAUAUUAUGAGAUGUUUCUGAGAUAUUCUAUUAGGGUUUACUCAUGUACAUAGGAUGAACAUGGACAUCUAACGGUGUGUAAGAAUGUCACAUGCUAUAUCUUCCCAAGAAUAUUUUUUAUCUACCUGCCCACCUAAAUUUCCAUGACGCUAUCCCCAGUAAUCUUUUUCUAUUAUCCCUUUGCUUGCUAUUUCUUGGCUCAAAGCUUUCUUUUCCAACUUCAUGGUGUGUUUUAGCUGACCAGCUAUUUUAUGCAGACAACAGGUUCACUUCUAAGUAAUUUGCUAGAUGUGGUUGAGGAGGUUCAGUUAGCUCGGGUAGACAUUAGAAAUUUGGUCCAAGCUAAGUUCAAUUCUCAUUCAGGUAGGCAAAUUUCCUCUAAAUAUUAUACAAUGUGACAAUGUUUUAAAAAUCAGAUGGUGGCAGUUAUUGAACCAAUGAGACGGUGUUAUUUACUAGUAAAUCCAACCAUUGUUGAACUGUUGAGAAUUAUAUUAUAAUAAUCAAAUAAUAAUUUAUUUUGUUCGAAGAAUUAAUAAACUUAUUUAUACAGUCAUACGAAAUAAAGUUUGAUAAAUAUUUUAAGGGUCAUGUUAACUUGUGCCCUUAGGGCACAUGUUAAGCAUUAAUUUCAUUCCAUUAAUGGUAAUAAUUUAAUGAAAAAUAUCAAUAUUAAACAUUUUAAACAAUAAAUUAACACAAUUUCCAAAAAAUAAUUUCUAUUAAUGGAAUUCUUAACAUGUGCCCUUAGGGCACAAGUUAACAUUUCCCAUAUUUUAAAUUAACUUAAAACCAUAUUAUAUGUCUUGCAAGACAAAAGUUGAUCAAUACUAAGAGGCUAAAUAAUAUCAGAACCAAAUGCAUAUGCCAGCCUCAUACAUGUCCCUAAAUUAAUUUUAUUCACUUUCAGUCUCUAUUUGAAAACUUCUUACAAAGAAUGAGUGCUUUUACUCCCUCAAAAUAGUCCCUAUAAAAAAUAAAAUUGAAACAAAAUGUGAUUAAAAUUUAUUUAGAUAUUGAACUUCAAGGGCCAUGAUUUAUAAGGACUUUAUAAAUAUGUAAUCUAUAUAUAUACAUUUGGAUGGAUUAAAAAGAAAAAUUGAAAAAAUUAGUUCAAGCAGCUUAUACUGGAGAAACCUCCAUUGCCGAAUUUCUGCUUGUUUUUUUACCAGGUUGACCUGUACCCACUGGUUUUGAUUAAGGACUUUAUAAAUAUGUAAUCUAUAUAAUACAUUUGGAUGGAUUAAAGAGAAAAAUUGAAAAAAUUAGUUCAAGCAGCUUAUACUGGAGAAACCUCCAUUGCCGAAUUUCUGCUUGUUUCUUUACUAGGUUGACCUGUACCCACUGGUUUUGUAAUCAGUCAGUUUUUAGGGGAUUGCAAUUGAACAGAACCAGUCCUUAACCAGUUCAUUGGUUACCCCAUCAAACUGGCCAGUCCAGCCCGGUUAAUUUUUAAAACCAUAAUAUGAACCUUUUAUCUGCAGAAAAUUCUUCCCAAAUUAAUUGGUAUUGGUUACUACCUUCCAUGUUUGACUUCAAAUCAAACAGGUGUUUCACACUGUCUAUUUCAUACUGUUUUUGUAGUUCAUCAACUUGAUUUGCAGCUAUCUUUCAUUGACUUCUGUGGUGGGAAGAAGGUGCAAGUGAUUCUCGAUAUGACAUGCUUAAAAUGGUAAUCCUGCAAUUUUGUUAACAUUAACCUUUAAAUGAUUUUUCUUUGCUCGGUUAAUUCUUUGCUACUAAGGAUGUCUUUGGUCAGCCAAAAAAUUAUGUUUUGACAAAUAAAACUAAGUGUUCUGUGUUUGAUUUGAAAAUGGUCAUGGAACAAGACAAAAGUCUUGAAUUUUGUUAGUAAGUGAAUUAGGAGACAAAUUUUUUGUGUAAUGCACAUCAUCCAAAAGAAAAGAAAAAAUUCCACUUUUUCUUCCUCUUAAUAAUAACUCUUCGCUGAGUGUCCUCUCUUCCCCAACCUUUUACUUCCAUCAUUUCUCCCCCUUGUUUGAGACUACUAUUCUGCUUUUGUUGUACUCGAACAUGUAUCAAACGUACCCUACGUAUUGUUUGUUUUUUGCUCAAGUGUUCCUAUCAUAUAAGCACUGUACAGGAGUCACUUAAAGCUGAGACUGCUUAGUAUUCAAUCUUUCCAACUUCCAUUUGCUCAAGUGUUCCAAUCAUAUAAGCACUGUACACGAGUCACUUAAAGCUGAGACUGCUUAGUACUCAAUCUUUCCAACUUCCAUUUAGAUCAUUCAAGUUUUGACUCAUGCUUAACACACAUGCCGCAAAAGUUUCCAUAAAAUUUACAUCUAUUGUGAUACGAUGAUGCUCUAAUUGCCCUCACUCAGCUGAAUCAAUGCUCAUUUAUGUUUUGGAUAUCAUUAAUAUGAAUGCUAUUUUUAAACAUUUGGUUUUAAGUGUGGUGAUAUUCCCGCAUGUGAUCAGCUUUAUGAUUAUAUUUUCUUGGUAUUUGUUACUUGUAAUGAAAGCCACUGAUUUAACAAUUGGUUUGAGCAGUGGGGCCUAUCCUGCUGAGGUUCUUCCAUCUCAAAUAUAUGAUCCUGCUGCUAGUGGGGAACAAAAGGCUCUUCCUUCGUCGCUUGUAGAUGAAAUAAGAACUGCAGCUGAGAGUGUGAGCGUGGGGUAUUCAAGAAUUAUUAGGCUGUGUAGGCGCAUUUCCCAGGCAGUUCAGGGUUGCACUAAAGGCAGAUGAUCCUGUCUAAUUGCCUUCAUUCGUUGUCAAUUUUGGGUGGAUUGUUCAUUAGAGCUUUAUGUUGGUUGUAUAUAUAUUGUCACAUCAUGUGACUAUUAAUGGACGACUGAUUCUCAUACGCAACAUUAAAAUUAUUCACCAAUUUCCCAAUGAUUAGUGCUGCCAUAAAGGAAAUCGGUUUAUUACGAUCUUAAGCUCUCUGUGACCUUCUGCAAUAAGUAUCUUGUAUAAUUAAAGUAUAAUAUUAGGUUAUCAGAUGAUUCAAAAUGUCAGAUGCAUGAUCAUAAAAUGAAAAUCUGUAUAUUUCUUGUGAGUAUAAUUGAGGAUAGAAGGUUGAUUUAAAAUGAUUGCUAUGAUAUUCAAAAUAUGUCUACCGUAAAAUGUUUUCAACUUGAAAGUGUAAAUAUUAUAAUAUGAACAUUCAAUCUUCUAAAUAACUAAUAGAUGUUAAGAUUCAUUUUUUUGACCAAAUUGGUGCUCAAUAUUUGCUUUUUGUUACAGUGCUUAAGAUUAUCAAGUAAAAAGCUUCUAAACAAUUUUGAUGCUCAAAAAGGCUUCUUUCUAUUUUUUUUUUAGGUAAAUAUUUGAAUCAUACAUUCGAUGCUUUGUAGAGUUCGAGUAGUUCAAAUUGGAUGGUAUGAAAGAAGUUAAUUAUCUAUUCAGAAGCUUAAAAGAUUUGAUUACCAUGCUGAUGUGAUUUGGGAUGGAUUGAUGCUGAUAUGUAAAAUUAUUUUACACCGAUAAUUCUUAAUAUUAAUGUAAAGAAAAAAAUAUAAAGUGACGUAAAUAAUUAUUUUUUACAAGCAAAUAGUAAUUGAAAAAGAAAAUUCCUUAACAUUACAGCGAAACUUGAAUGCGACACACUCAUUUUGUAGAUGUUUUCAUUCAUGAACUGCAUAAAUCACGUGCUUAAAAUUAAAUCCCCUAGAAAUGACCAAAAGAAAAAUCUUAUCACUUAUCAUUCACUAUAAAACUACAAGUUUCUUCAUAUCUUUAAUAAUGAAUCCAUACUAAAAUGUUCUUAUUGUGACGUUGAAGUUUCUUCACAAUUUAAAUGUGUAAAAAGAUAGGUGGCAUUUCAUAUGGGAAGGUAUAAAACCUUCCUACCAUGGGUCACACAAGAUAAAUGGUUAGAUUGUGCAUUUCUAUUAAAGCUUAUCAUGUUCUCCCACAUCUGAUCUCAAUAGCUUCACUUUCCAAACUUUUCUCAUCUUGCUCCCAGCUUUGUGGCCGUCUCCCUCCAGGCUCCAUCUCCCACAACCAGCAACCACCUUCAAAGAAACACCACCAAUAAUUGAAACCUCUUUAAGUGUGUGAACCAAAGCAUGACUUACCUUCAUUUCUCUUCCACUGCAAUUCAAAAUCACACCUCUCACAAAAACAUCCAACUUUCUUCUUCACCAAAUCUACUCACAAGUAAUAAAAUUGCAGAUUUACCCAUCAUAUCAAUCGAAAGUGCUAAGCACCGGAAGUGCUAAAAGAGCUAGCUGUUACAACCAAACAAAAGGUUCCUGCCAACCUUAUAAAACAAGCAGUGGCAAGGAACAAGUAGAAAAUAAGCACAGAUAUACAUGGAAGGGCGGAAACAAGCCAAACUCCAUAAAAGUAAAUUUACAAAAUCCCUCCCAUAGAACCGCACCAACAAUAACGCUCCAGCUACAACAGCACAAAAAGGCAGAUUCAAAAAGACAGCCGUGUUCAUCUUCUGUUUAGACAUUCUCGUGGAUUCCACGUCCACUCAUAGAAGAGGAAAGAAGCUAUCUUCAACCUACUCAACAUCCAAACCCAAGAAAGCGCUUUAAUUUCAUUCACUAUUUUAGUUUGUUUACUCUAAUUUUCAAACCAUAGUUAAAUCAUAUGAAAAAUUAAUUAAAAAACUAUAAUGUUGGAGAAGAUACUCGGAGAUUCAUGAAUGAGAGCUGUUUGAGAAGAUCUGUGUCAUUCAAGCUAUUGCAGAGCUGGCGUGGUGGGAGGAGAAUUGGUGGUGUGUUUUGAUGUUGUUGGUGGUGGGGAGGAGAGAGAAGGGUGGUGGAAGGUGUAAAAGAAAUAAUCCAGUGUUACAAGUGUAUGAUAAGAUGGUGUUUUCAAAUUAAUCUAAUGGCUAAAACAAAUUUUCCCAUGGUGGGAAGGUUUUAUACCUUCCCAUGUGAACAACCACCAAAAAGAUAUUCAUUCUUAUUUAUUUUAUGAAAUGCUGGUGAUUGGAGAUAACUCUUUUCACUUAUUCAUGGGAUGGGAGGGAGUAAGCGUUGCUUCAUAUUUGUUAAUUUGUUUUAUUUAUUUUUAUAAUAAACUGAUGUUCAACUUCUCUCACUCUAAAGUUGCAUAACGUCUGUACUAGUGAGUUUAACUCAAUUGGUAGGAACAAUGAAUAAUAUAUGCAAGGUUCAGGGUUCAAAUCCUGACCACUACAAAAAAGUCGCAUAAUGUUUUGUUUAAGACAAAAUUGAGUUUAAAGCUUAUUAUUUUUAUAAGAUUGUAUGAUAAAAAAAAAGUUUGGUAACAGUCAUUUUUACAGCUUAUUUUCAUGAACUAACCCAGUUUGGAUUAGCUUAUUUUAGAGCUUAUGCAAAUAAGCUUGUUAAUAUAUUAUUUAUAAAUGUGUGUUAAUGUAUUAUUUAUAAGCUUGUUAACGUAGUUUAUGAAAAAAUAGUUUAUGAAGGUACACUUUUCAUUGGUGAGAACUUAUGAAUUAAGAUAAAAGCUUACUUAUUUGCAUAAGCUCUUUUUCAUAAGCUCAAAAUAAGCUCUAUCCAAACGGGGCCUUAAACGAAUUUAAAUAACUUAACUCAAAUAGCUUAUAGUUUAUAAUUUUUUAUCUUCAUUUUACCCCUGCAAUCUUAAUUAAAAAAAAAAAUUACUAUAAUUAAAUGUAUUUUUUGUCAUUUUAUAUCUAUUAGCUACUUCAAUUGUUAAUUUUUUUCAAACACUAUAAAUUCAAUUAAUUAACUUAUCCGUUAUCAAUUAUAAGCUAGAAUAUAAAUCAUCAAUUAUAAAUUUAUCAUCUAUAAACUAUCUUAUCAGUUAUCCACCUUUUUAUACCAAACUGACCCAUAAUGUACACAUAAAAUUAUACUUUGUGUCUUUCGAAAGUGUAAUAAUAAUAACACGGUUUUUACUAUGUAUAAAUAUAAUUUAUCGGUUAAAAAUAAGAAUCAACGGUGUCCUAACUCCUAACAUCUUCAUGGCCAUCCUUAUUGGUGCCAGCAACAGACAGAUAUAUAUGUGAGUUGUUUGAAAAUUAUACCACCCAAGAAUCACAAAGAAGUGCUGUUCAAUUCAAAGUUUGUGGCGCUCUGUAACUAUACUAUACUAUUCAAUAUUUAUAAAGAAAAAAUAAAUAAACAAUUUUAACAUUGUAAUACAAUCAUACAAAAUUUUAAAUAUUGAGCAGAAUGCUAAAAGCAUAUAUUCAAUUCCAUUUUAAUUUGUUCUCUUCUCUUUUGUUAUCUUUUGUCUAAUAUGAGGUUGGGACCUUAAUUGUAGGUGGCAUUUAACGUGCAUAAAUAUUAAAUAUGUGCAUGUUUAGUCAAUUUUGCAAAAGUGUAUGCUGUAAUUUUGACAAAAAUUAUGUUUUAAAACUUUAACAAAAUCACAAAGUGACAAACAAAGUCAAUGUUAUAAUUUCGUUCAAGGAAAUGUUUAAGACCUUUAAAUAAUAUAUUUUUAUGAAAAUCAUUGUAUUUAAUGCAUUGGAAAUUGAAAUAAAUAGUGGAUAAUUUCUUAAAUUAGAAUGUUUAAAAAGUGUCUGGAGGCACUCAUUAGCAAGACCAUUUCAUCAAACUCAAGUCCUGCAUUAUGUAGCAAAAUCAUUGGGGUCAGUGGUCUCUAAGACUCUAAGAUAUUUUAAUACCAAAGUUCUAUAACCAAACUCAUCACAUGCUUCACUAUAAUCAAAAGCGCUGGCAAAAAGAGAAAAAGGGACUUCUAUAAUAUCAGAUAAUUAACAAGGAGGUCAUUAUGGACAAACACAAAUAACCAAAAAGUAUAUAUAUCCCUAAUCUCAUAUGUGGCAAACAUAUGAUACAGAAAAGGAAAAAAAACAAGGUAAACAAAACCCUCCACUAACUCUACAUCAUAAAAGGCAAAAGCACUAAGAAGACUAAAGAAAAAGUCAGAUACAUAGAUAGGUACAUCAAAACUGUCACAGAUAUUUACACACUAUAUACUGUACAUGAAGUAACCUCUCCAUUAGAUAUUUUGUGCAUGCUUCAAUCAUUGCUCUUACCAUAAGCAAGAUGCAUCAUCUUCAGGAAUUAAAGGACUCCUACAAAGUGGACAUGUAAUGUUCCAAUAAUCCAACCACUUCUCCAAACACACUUUAUGAAAAACAUGGCCACAUGAUAUGCAAUAGUUUAUCUCUGAUUCAGGUUCAAAUUGAGUGAGACACACUGAGCAAUCAUGUUCAGGUUCUUUGCAGCUAUUACACACACUAUCAAACCUAAGUGUUGGUGUUCUGCUUCUGAACUCUUCAACGAAAUCAUCUGAAGGACUUAGAUGGAUUUCAUAUGACUCAGGUAUGUUUUGAGGAAUGUAGUCUUGGGAAGGAGAGGAAGAUGGUGAAGCAAUGAUACCAACAAUGUGCAGGAUAGUCCUUAUAAUGCCUUUGAAUAUGGAUAUUGACAUGGCAGUGUUUACUAGAAUGAUGCAUAACACUCCUUCAGAUUGUGCUGGAAGACUUGAUAGGCCCAUUUUGAUGAACAAAUUUGUGAUACACUUUAUGAUGCAAUGUGUAUUUUGAAGCAGAAUUUAUCAAUGGAAACUAUUUUGAUCUUGUUAAUAGUUUACCUGCAAACACAUCAAAAGGGUAUGCUUUAAUAAAAUUGUAACAAAAUAAAUAAAGUAUUGUGUAGACUAAUCAAUCAAAAAGAUUGAAUUGAUUGAACUACUAGUGGUCAAAAUCUCUACAUAGGAGAGAGUAAAAUAACAAUUUGCAAUAUACCCUAAAUUUGGAUAAAGAGAUAGGAACUUUAAAAAUCUCAUUGAAAAUAAAAGGGAAAAUUUAAUUAAUAACUAAUAAUCAGAAUUAAAAAAAUUCACCCCCAAUAGCCUAAACUAGAGAACCAAAUCCUUAAAAUCUAAAAGAAUAGGGAAAAAAACAAGAACUGAGAAAUUCUAACAAAGGGGUUUUACGGAGACAAAUCAAACAAGUAGCAUAUAAUUUGAUGUCAAAGUUUCCAGAUUAAAGAUUAAGCAAACAAGAAUUAAAUAUAAGCAUUGAGGUGGAUUCUUCAUCAACAAAACCUACCAAAAAUUCUUAUGAUCAAGUUUACAUGAGAAAAUAAACAGAUAAAAGAAACUAAAUUAGGAUCUAACAUUUCAUGGAAACAUGUUGGAUUACAAAGGAGAAAAAUAGUAAAGAACCAGAAUAAUGAAGAAAAAAAAUGCAUUUUUAAGACUUACAGAUAAAGGAUUUGAGGAUUUGUGAUGUGGGUCAACAAGAACAAUUUGUGAAGAGGUUGUUUUUGUUACAAGAAGUGAGUUUUUGAUAUUGUGUUUUUCUCUCCCUUUUCUCUUUUGCUUUAUAGAGCCAUAUACCCCACUUAACACUACUAGGCUAGCUAGGGUUGAUUGAUUGAUUAUCUAUUAUUAGUGCAACCUUAGUUUCUUAACCAUGGUUACUAGUUCCUUGUUUUCUGGACAAAAGUGGUUUAACCAUAGUUAGUUCUUUUUUUUAUAUGGAUGGAUCAUAUGGCUAUCCUCUUCUUUGUCUUCUUCAUUUUGUUGUGUUUUACAUAAAAAUCUUUAUUUGAAUUUCAAAAUAAAAAUAUAUUUUGUAUUCUCUUAGAAAUCGUGGUUGGACCUAACACAAUUCCAUAAAAUCGGUUUGUGAGGUGAGGAUCCCCACUUAUAAAUACACUGUCAGACCUUCUUCUUGGCUUGGUUCGUUGACAUAAAUGGUGGAUGACCCGAUAACGAAAACCUAAUAGCAGGUGGUCCAAUGAAUCUUGAAUAGACUUUGAUACCAUCUUAAAAAUCAUUGUUGAGUCUAACACAACUCCACAAAUCCGAUUUGUGAGGUGAGGAUCCCUACUUAUGAACACAUCAUGAGACAUUCUCCAAUCUGAUGUAUCCGAUAUGAGACAUAUUCUUCUUUAUAUAUUUGCAAUUUCAAUUGUUUACAUGUACUGUAUUGUUAUUAAAACACUUGCUAAUUUUUGCUUUUCACCAUUGUCCUAUUAAGAAACACUUAUCGGAGAGAAUGAAAUUUGUUUUGAAAAUUUGAGGCUAUAUUUGUAUUUGAUAAGCUGUUAAAUGAGGAACUAAUAUUUUGGGUGAUUUAUAUAUGAAUUUUAUACUCUAAAUCGCCUAUUUUGUCUUUGAUUUAGAACUAAUAAAGAAUGAAAAGGAGUCGACACAAAAAUGACAUAAGCAAGGUUUUUGAGUUUGAAAAAAAUGAUGCAAUUCUUUACGUACGUACACCUCACAACCGUUUUUGUCAUAGUUUAAGGUGUCUUUUGAGGUGUUGGAAAAACUUAUAAAAAAUGUACAUAUAUCUACAUGAAUUGAAAGGUUGCAGUCAUGCAAGUUGUAACUCUCCCAGUUGAACAAGAUGCAAAAUUUUCAACGAAGCACAUUCCUACAUCACAAUUAUGUAGGGGUCGUGUCAAAGCACAAAAAAUAUUGUCCUUGGAUAUUUUCUAUAAAUUGAAGUCUCAACCCCUAUUUUAUCAUUUUGGAUCAUACUUUGAAAAUGAGAUGAUACUCAGAAUUAAUAUGUGGACGUUGAUAGCCAGCUGGGACUACAUGCGAGUUUAGUUUUCAAGCAUUCUUUUAUAGAUUCAUUUGUGAUUUAUGUUAAUUAUAUCAUGACUUUUAUUACAUGAGAACAUUUACCUAGUUUAACUAAAUUGUACGAUUAAUAUUGUAUAUGUAAUAACUUUGGUGUUUAACUAAAUUCAUAGUUAGUUCUUUAAGUUUUUCGUUUUUUCUAAAGUGGUCAUUUAAGUUUCAAAAAUUUCAAAGAAGUCAUUUAAGUUUCAAAAGUCUCAAACAAGUCAUUUUAGUUUUUGAAUCGUUUCAAACAAGUCCUUUUAAAGGAUGAUGGUGAUGAUUCAAAUGAUAGCAACAAAGAGCAUUAUUCAUCAUUUGUCAUGCAUGAAAAGAUGACUAAUUUUAAGUGGGUGUUAGGAGUCAGAUUUGGUACCAAAGAUGAGUUCAAUGAAGCAAUUACCAACUAUGUUAUCUACAAUAGGACUUGUUUGAAACGAUUCAAAAACUAAAAGUACUUGUUUGAGACUUUUGAAACUUAAAGGACCACUUUAGAAAAAACGAAAAACUUAAAAGACAUUUAGAUGUAUUUGACCAAAACUAAACUAAAUUCAUAGUUAUAGAUAUAGUGGAUCUUAUGUUUUAAUGAAUUCUUAGCCAAAAUUUAAUAAGUUAAUUUUUUUUUAAGAGAAUAAGUUAAUUAUUUGAUCCCAUAAAAAAAAUUAAUUAUUUGAUAACAUUUUUUCCCGCAGCCAGUUAAUUGAUAGUGAGGGUUGUCCUGAUCAUAACUUAAUCUCUUUGUUCAAUCAGCAUGAGCAUGCUAGUUAAUACGUUGUGUAUAAUUUUCUUGACGGUUUCUUCGUGUGAAAGCGACAAUAGUUAGAUUGGGAAAAGAUUGUUAAUAUUUUAUUUUUUUGGUCUAGAAGAUUGUUAAUAUUUUUACUCACACUGAUGAAUAUAUUAAUAUGAUUAGAAUGAGUGCAUGAUAUAAGGCAGGUGGUAAAAAUCCACAGAUUGCUGGAAAAUCUAAAUGGCAAAACAUAAAAGUUAAAAAAUUGCUUUUUAGUUUAGACUAAAUGAUAUGCUGUCACACAUAUGAAAUGGACAUUUAAUACCCUCAACUGUAGUUAAUUGCAUUUCGCUGCUUAAUUUUCUUUUUGGAACGAAUGGUAGUUAAUAUCAAUGGAGUAUUUUGAUCAUUUAUGUGUGUUAUGCAAAUCAUUAAGUGUAAACAGAAAUUUUUCAAAAGUUAAUGCACCUGCAAAUAUGAAGAGAAAAUUGCUUUUCUGACACAUGAAACUUCACUAUAAUACAGGUAAAAUACUUAAAUGUCUCUAGCGGUUGUUAACAACCGUUGAGUUAAGCGGCGGCUGUUAACUGCCGUUGUGUUCUUAAUAUAUUCAAAAAACUGACUUUUCUUUAAUACACAUUUUUUAUUUGAAUUGUUUUAUUUGAUAUAAAUAAAUAAAUGCAAAUAAAAACUAAAAUAAAAGAACACAAGUAAUAGAUAUAAAAUCACAUUUUAUUAAUAUAAUAAUACAUUUACAAUGGGGUAAAACUAAAUCUGCUUCGUCGUACCAAUAACAUUGAAAAUAACAUCUUCGUCGUAAAAUAUGCUUUUCAUCCCUGCAAUUAUAGGCCGUUUGAUUUUUCAUCCCUGAGCUUAUUAAUCCUCCCAUUUUGCCCCUGUAAUUACUAAUCAUUUGAAAGUUCGUCCCUCUCCCCGGAUAAUCACUGCCACGUCAUCAAAUUAGCAAAAUGGCAUGGAAAUUGACAAAAAUACCCCUGGCUUAUUUUUAAAAAUUUAAAAAUCUGAAAAUAAUUUUAAAAAAUUAAAAAAAUAUAAUUUUUUGAAAUAUGAAAAAAAUAUAAAAUUAUAUAAUUUUUUAAAAUCUGAAUAUAUAAUUUCGAAAAUUAUUAAAAAAUCUGAUUUUUUUUAAAAAUCAGAAUAUUAAUUUCGAAAAAAUCUGAUUAUAUAUUUUUUAAAAUUAUGUGAAAAAUUAUUUCAUUUUUUUUCGAAAAAGUUAUUUUCAAAAUAUUUUUAGAAUUUUUUUAUUUUUUAAAAUUAUUUUCAGAUUUUUUAAUUUAUAAAAACAAUUUUCAGAAUUUUAAAAAUAAACCAGGGGUAUUUUUGUCAAUUCCCAUGCCAUUUUGCUAAUUUGAUGACGUGGCAGUGAUUAUCCGGGAAGAGGGACGAACUUUCAAAUGAUUAGUAAUUACAAGGGCAGAAUGGGAGGAUUAGUAAGCUCAGGGAUGAAAAAUCAAACGGCCUAUAAUUGCAGGAUGAAAAGCAUAUUUUACCCUUAAAAAUAACAUCUUCGUCGUACAUUUAUUCCUUAAUACGUGGAGUUGUAACGCCCGUUUUGAUUUAUUUAAUUAUUUUAUUGAGUCUAGAAUCUAUUAAGAUGAGUUUAGAAUAUAUUUAUAUGAUUGGUGUGAUUUAUGUGAUUUAAGUGAUUUAUGUGAUUUAAUGAGGUGUUGUGACUUAUUUUAUUGUUUAAUAAAAUAAGAUUUGAAAAUAAAAUAAAUAUUGAGUUGAAGGGUUGUUUUGAGAUUUUAGAGAGUUUUGGGGGAAAAGGAGGAAUAAGAUAGAAUAGAUAGAAGAGAUAUAAAUAGGAGAAGACCUAGUUUAGAAAAGUUAGUACGUACGUUCAGUUUUGGAGAAAAGGAAGAAAAAGCCAAGAGAAGGGAAGAAGACCUAGAGAGCUGCGAUUUCAAUUUCUAAGGUAAGGGUGAGACUAACAUUCAAUUCUAUUAAGUAGUAUAAUUCUGAUGGUUGUAUUUAACAAGUGUAUGAUUAAUUUAGAGAAGUUGGAAAUUAGGGUUAAAGUGAGAAAUUGAGGAUUAAUUGAUGAAAAGUUGUUAGAUUGAUGUAGAAACUAUUUACAGACCUUAGAUAAUCCAUAGGAUGAUUUCAGGAAUCAAUGUUAAGCUUAAAACCAUGCCUUUAGGUGAAUUUUUGUGAAAACUGCAAUUCUGCCAAAGCCAACAUUCAUCGCUCGCCUCCCAAGUGAUGAUCCUCGCCAUAGUGAGGGAUGAUCUUCAUCGCUCGCCUCGCGAGCAAGUUUUGCCCGCCUCGUGAGUUGCACCUUGCAGCUCGCCAUAGCGAGCAGUUCACUCGCCAUAGUGAGUAUGACCAGUGAGGAACCUGAUUUGUGAUUUCACUUGUUAAGUCGAACUUUAGAUGAUUCUGAGUAUCUGAACAUGUAUAAUAAUGAUUAGGCAAGUUUUUAGAUUGAGAUUGAACCUGGGAAAGUUUAAAAAUGGAUUUUUGGAUGGAAAAUGUAAAAUUCCCGAGAGCACCCAGUUUCUUGUUCGCCAAGGCGAAUGCCUUUUUCCUGAACUCGCCAUAGCGAGUAGAGGCUCUCGCCUCGCGAGUUGCCCAGUUACAGAACACCUUGUUAGGUUAAAAGUGACCUUUGUCGCACGAGUUGAUGUGAGUUGAUCUUGGGGGUAAGAAACUAAGUUGUUUAUCUUACUGUUGUUGUUCCAGUAAGUCUGAAUUAUAUGAUUUGAUGUUGUUAAUAAUGUGAUAUAAAUGUAUAUGCAUUACAUGAAUUAUUUAUGAUGUUGAGAUGUUGUUGAUUUGCAUUUGAUAUUGUUAUAUCAUGAACUGUUUUAUAUACUGCCUAUGUUGCUGUUUGUUUAUUAACUAAGCUGCAUGACUCGGUCUAAGAUGGAAGAUGAUGUUCCAAAUUAUUGGAUUUAUAUAAGAGGUCGAUUUUUCUAAGAUGUUAAGUUGUUGAGUCCAUGCAUACUCAUUCAUUGUCGGGGGCUUGAUGCCCUAGAGCCUUUGCUCACCACGUUGAGGGCUUGAUGCCCUGGAGCUUUAGCUCAACUAAGUUGAGGGCUUGAUGCCCUGGAUUGGUACCACAUGCAUAUAAGAGGUUUAAGUUGUAUAGUCAAGUCGAAGUUGUUAAGUUGUCAAGAUAUUAAGUUGUGAUUCUAUAUAUAUGAGCUGUUAAUGAAGUGUUAUAUGAUUAUAUUAUUAUCUAUGAUGAUAUUAUGAUGUCUUCAUGUUGUUAAAUAUAAUUGUUGAAUUAUAUGCUUAAUAUUAUUGUUUUGUGAAAUCUCAUCCCUUCUGCUUGGAAAUGUUGCUCUUCGUAUGAGUAACUUGUAGGUGAUCAAGAAUAAGUAGCUGUUGAUUGCUGUCGUGAGUGGCUAUCCCUCACUGUGUCUUUAGGUGCUCUGAUACGUAACAGGAUGGGAACUUUUGUGGCUAUUUUCUAUUCCUUACGUAUUUGAUUAUGAAUUUAUAUGAUUAAGUUGUUAAUUAGAUUUUUAUGAGAUGUUUUGAUGAGGCCUUCGUGCCAAGACUAUUUAUGUUGUUGAAUUUAAUCCGCUGCGAAGUUUUGAAUAAUUUAUGUUGAAGGAUAAAUUGUUAUUUAUCUCAAUUAUGAUUUUUAAGAAGUGUAGCAUUUCGUUUAUGUGUUGAAUACUCUGAUAAUCGUUAUGAAAUUUUUAUGUUGGAAAAACGGGGUGUUACGCGAGUCAUCUUUAUUCUUAGAACUUCUGGAUACUCUUCUCCAAGAUAUUCAUACAGGACAACACCAAGAUGACCCAAAAUUGUUCCUAUCGUCGUACAUUUAUUCCUUAAUAGGUGGAGUCAUCUUUAUUCCUAGAACUUUUGAAUACUCGUCUCAAGAUACUCAUACAAGACAACACCAAGAUGACCCAAAAAAUAUUGUUCCUCACCUUUGCACUCUUGUUGUUUAAUAACUAGACCUUGCACCCGUGCUGCUGCACGGGUCAUAUUGACGGCAAAUAGAAUAUUUAAAUAAAUACAAAAUAAUGUGUUUUUGGUGCAAAUACAAUGUUAAUAGUAAAAAUACAGUAAAAUAGGAGUUCAUGUUAGUACAUUGCGAAAAAUAUAUGAAUAAGAAUUGGUUAAAAAAAGAAGAGAUUAUACAUAUUGCAUGUUUUUCUAGUGCUUUUUAUGAAGCACAUACUUCUCAUAUUGGUGUGUCCCAACGUCAGAUAUGUAUCAUGUCUAAUACCAACACAACAUCAACGCUUAAAAUAAACAAUGAAUUUUACCAUUUUCUUAAAUUAUUAUCAGUGUCAACGCGUCUGAACUUUAUAGUGUUUUUUAUUAUAUAUAUAUAGGCCUAAUUUACCGGCAUGUGUAGCUCUUAUUUUUCUUUAUCUUAAUUAGCUUUAAAUGUCGAAUAUUUUUUUUUUUAUUUUAACAUCUAAUAUAUAUUUAUUUUUUUUGAAUCAGCUAAUAUUCACGUCGAGUAAAUGCAAGAUGCAAACUCACUCGCGGCGGAAAACAAUAGAAUAUAAAUGAUGCCGCAUAUAGAUAGAACACCUCCCAAAAACAAACAAAAUGGACAACCAAAUAAUGAGGCCGGAGUAUACGGACGCGCUAAGCAUCAACCGCACACCCAUGCCUUACAAUCCAAAAAUUAAGGCGUCCGUAAAUGCCAGCAACACACAUAGAGAAGCUGCCAAGGCCUAAAGACCCACCAAUGAAAUCCCACCUAACCAAAACAAUACCCUAGCUGCCCCAUUACUAACAAAGAUAGGAACGGAUACAAUACUAAUACCAGCCAAACAAAAUUCAAGACAUAGGGGUAACUGAACAGGCCGCACAGCAGGAAGAGCAAUAUCCAUGACAGCAACACUAAAAAGCACGCUGCACAUUCCAGAAGCCCACUAAACAGCCAAAAUAUAUAAAACUAACAACCAAUAUAUAAAAGAUCCCCCUGCAUAUCCAAAAAUUAAUAUACAUUCCUCAACAUAAUUAUAGCAGUGAUUACACUUUUCAAGUUCAAAUAAUAAAUGUAGAAGAUGGAAUGAAAUCAUUUAGUUGAUACAGAUGAAAGUUAAAACAAAAAUAUUUAAACAAUGAAGGGGAUCUAAAAUUCACUUUCCAAUCCUUGACAUAUUAAAAUUACUAUCAUUGGUUCCAAAUUACAAUUGGUUAUCUUCAUUGCAAUCAUCUAAACUUAAUCAAAAUUAUGCAUGUGCAAAUAGAAUCGACAUUAUAUAAUUGAUGACUAAUUGAUUCCAUUAACAACAAUAUGUCCCCAACAGCAGCAGGCUGCACAAAAACUAAAAGAACCCCACCAUGAACAUCACAUACUCCCCCAACAUCAGCAGGUUGUGCAAACAUAGACCUGGGCUGUCCACAGCAGACCCUGCAGGAGCAAACAGAAGCUGCUAACAGCACCCACCAACCUAUACAGCACAGGUCAUACCUCAGCACAUCGUACAUCAAUCUAUUGCGAGCUCGGUGGAUCAAGGACACAUCAGGUUGUUCUUCAUGGGAUAAUCUUCUUCCAUAUUUUUGCCAUGGCUCUGCAACAAUAAUUCAAUUUCUGCCGGCGCAUAACUUUGCAACUGAUGGUGAUCCAACACCAAAUCUGCAUGUUUGCAGGGAACAAUAAGGAAUAAGAUAUUAAAAAAAAUCACCAUAUAAAUUAUAAACAUGAACAAAGCUUCAUAAUAUAAAUCAGAUCAGUUUCAUAUUGAGUGGCAGCACGGUCUGCUAUCAUCCUAUAAGAACAACAAUAAUCACGUUGAUUACUAUCUGAACUGUCGCGUCAUUUUUCGGAGAUCAAGGCUAUUUGAUUAGCUUUUGACUCACUAAUUUAUUUCACGACCGAACAUUUAAUUUUUAAAGAAAAGGGGAAAAAAGUUCAGAACACCCCAUAUUGAAAAGAUUUAGGGUUCGGGGGUUAGUUACAUAAAGGGAAGGUAUUAGCACCCUUUACGUCCGUAGUACUCUACGGGAACCUCUUGGUUUUAUUUAAUUUAAUGUGCUAUAACUUGCUUGCUUUUGAAAAGAAAGAAGUAAUGUGAUGAAAAAGAAAAAGAAAGUGAGACCUAAUUUAUCUACAUUUUUUUAUUGUUUGGAAGGACAUGGUCCUCUGCCUACGUACCCGUGAGGGAUCAAAACCUCGUAGUUCGGGGUAAAAAACGACGUUUGAUUGGUUUUGUGUUUUUUAUUAGUUUUUGAAAAAAGGUUUAAAAAUAAAAGCCAAGUGGCAAAUAAGAAUUUGUUUGUGUUUUUUUUAUUAAAAAAGAUAACUCGAAGUAUGAUUAAAUUGAUUGAUAUUUGAUUAAGAAAAUAAAAUAAAAAAAAAGGACGAUCACUUGAUUUAGGAUCAAGGUUUAUUAUGGAAAAAUGUUUUUUUGUGAUUUUUGGUUAUUUGCAUGUUUUUGUGAUUUUUGAAUAAAUAUAUAAACUAACGGAGCAUAAAGAAUAAAAGCGCGGCUACCCUAAGUUAGAAAUAUAAAAUCUAUGACUAUUACAAAAAAACCUAUUUACAUUCUAAGGUCUGCAAUAAAAAUUAAAAUGCUAAAAAUAAAUAAACAAAUACGAAAAGGAAUAAGGAAAAAUAAAAAAAAAAAAAAAAGGUCCAAACACAAGGUGGGGUGCAGUAGUAAACAGGGGUGUGCAGAAAGCAAAAAAAAAAAAAAGAAUUGGGCUUUAAGGAAACGAACCGGGUCGCGGGUCAUGGGUCAUGGGCGACCCGGUUUGGGGAUAUAUAAGGGUUGUAAACCCUAAUUCCUUCAUUUCUUCUCCCUCCUUCUCUCUCUUCCGUCCCCUUCUCUCUCUAAACUCUCUGUUCUCUCUCUUCUUCUCCGGUUGGAGAUGGGGUGGCCGGGGGAAUUCCGGC
This 36757-nucleotide long non-coding RNA is filed under the name Medicago truncatula (barrel medic). RNAcentral describes it as "long non-coding RNA (MTRU_LNC000962)". The record is from RNAcentral. Lineage: Eukaryota; Viridiplantae; Streptophyta; Magnoliopsida; Fabales; Fabaceae.